AUUGAACGCUGGCGGCAUGCCUUACACAUGCAAGUCGAACGGCAGCACGGGUGCUUGCACCUGGUGGCGAGUGGCGAACGGGUGAGUAAUACAUCGGAACAUGUCCUGUAGUGGGGGAUAGCCCGGCGAAAGCCGGAUUAAUACCGCAUACGAUCCACGGAUGAAAGCGGGGGACCUUCGGGCCUCGCGCUAUAGGGUUGGCCGAUGGCUGAUUAGCUAGUUGGUGGGGUAAAGGCCUACCAAGGCGACGAUCAGUAGCUGGUCUGAGAGGACGACCAGCCACACUGGGACUGAGACACGGCCCAGACUCCUACGGGAGGCAGCAGUGCGGAAUUUUGGACAAUGGGCGAAAGCCUGAUCCAGCAAUGCCGCGUGUGUGAAGAAGGCCUUCGGGUUGUAAAGCACUUUUGUCCGGAAAGAAAUCCUUGACUCUAAUACAGUCGGGGGAUGACGGUACCGGAAGAAUAAGCACCGGCUAACUACGUG
Molecule: ribosomal RNA, 486 nt
Filed under: uncultured bacterium
Lineage: Bacteria
Description: partial 16S ribosomal RNA
Rfam family: Bacterial small subunit ribosomal RNA
Source: RNAcentral